This is a non-coding RNA of Malus domestica (apple), 700 nucleotides long. The record is from RefSeq and is a predicted model, not a curated record. NCBI's taxonomy places the organism in Eukaryota, Viridiplantae, Streptophyta, Magnoliopsida, Rosales, Rosaceae.
UCUACCACAAACUAUAAGUAUUGUCGUUAUAAUUAUAAUUUUUCAUUUUUUUAAUCAACCAGUAUAAGAAUAAACACUCAAAUUUCAGAUCUCAAUGAAACCUAUUUACCGUUUUCAUAUCAGACACCGCCAACCACUAGGUCUCACCCCCUAUUCUUAUGUCGACAAUUACUCCGACCCCAAACUACUCAUUUCUUUGCCUUGUUCGUAUACACUAUUCGAACCCUAAUUUUUUUUUUCUAUUUCUUUGGGCAUGUCAGGUAUUCCCAAUCUAUAGGAUCUUCGUCUUCGUCUCCAACUAGAGAGCACGAGAUCUCGCUGGUGUAUAUCUCGGUGGAUUUCAGAGGCGGUGGCGGAAUAGGAAUGGAUCUCUAAGAUCGAUUAAAUUUUAGGCGGCAAAUCUCCACCAUUGAUGAAAUUGUGAUUCUUUCUUUCUAUGUUAUAACUUCUUCAGUUUCCAGUUUCUAUUUGCACAAAGAACUUGCAAACAAGAUAGAGAGAGGCAACAAUUGUUAAGGGUCAAGCUUUAGGGGCAGUAUUUCACUCUCAAGGUUCUUUCGUUUGGAGGUAUUCAAAGAAAUCUGAAGUGUUCAAGCGACAAUGUCCUUGUUAUGGCCUAUUUGAUACUUCUUGGAUGGUUUGGUAUUUCUUAGUAUAACUCAUUGGUUUGUUAUUAGUUUUAGUGUACAUCUUGUAAUAU